AUUUCCUUAGCUCAAUUGGUAGAGUGUGCGACGUAUAGUCGUGAGGUUGCUGGUUCGAGUCCAGCAGGGAAUA
RNAcentral lists this transfer RNA (73 nucleotides) under Weissella minor. RNAcentral describes it as "tRNA-Ile". It matches the Rfam family "tRNA". Rfam says of the family: Transfer RNA (tRNA) molecules are approximately 80 nucleotides in length. Their secondary structure includes four short double-helical elements and three loops (D, anti-codon, and T loops). The record is from RNAcentral. Lineage: Bacteria; Bacillati; Bacillota; Bacilli; Lactobacillales; Lactobacillaceae.